Long non-coding RNA from Myotis daubentonii (Daubenton's bat), 759 nucleotides. RefSeq lists it as uncharacterized. The record is from RefSeq and is a predicted model, not a curated record. NCBI's taxonomy places the organism in Eukaryota, Metazoa, Chordata, Mammalia, Chiroptera, Vespertilionidae.
GGACUCAGAGAACCCAUUUUGCCUGCCUCACAGCACUGCUGGGAAACAAGAAACGCCCGUAAAAAUGCUCUAAAAUACUGCACACCUGGAAAUGAGUUCUUUUCUCCUCUGUGGGGAGUUGAGAUAGUGUUCAGACUGCAGGGGAAGAGGAGAGGUCCGGAGACAGGUGUGGGAAUGGAGCAAUAAUGGAUGGAUGAAGAAUGCCUGCCUUCCUCUCGUGAAGGGUCAUCAUCUUAUCACUUUUGCAAAACAGGAGCUGACAGCCUCUGAAAUAAAGGAACCUGUUUCACUCCGUCUGAUCUGCUAUCUCCCAUCUUUGUUGAACACACGGCAUCCUUCCUGCCACACUCAGAAGCAAGGUUGACUCUACACACUUAAGUUACGAAGUGACAGUGAAUCACUGACCACUUCCCCCAUCCACCCCACUGAAUUGAGAGUUGGAGUGAAGUGACCCAUUCAACCUGCUGUGUUGGCACAGAGCACAACCAUAACCCAAUGGGCUUGGCCGCUGGGCCCAGGGAGAUCUGAGUUCCCGCCCUCUCUGGGUAUAAACACUGUGCCUAGGGUCGGAUGACUCUGCACCUCUCCACAGAGCAGGUCCUCCCUGCCAGGGUGAGACCCACAGGCCUAAUGCUGGGACUGGAGGAUCAAAGGAAACACUGAGCAGUGGGGACAAUACUUGCUCUGGAAUCAGGUGACAUUUAGUCCCGGCCAUGCCACUGACUAUCACUGAGACCUCAGACACGGAACUUAAUUUCU